This 468-nucleotide ribosomal RNA is filed under the name uncultured bacterium. RNAcentral's name for it is "partial 16S ribosomal RNA". It matches the Rfam family "Bacterial small subunit ribosomal RNA", at positions 28 to 507 of the family's 1533-position model. The record is from RNAcentral.
GACGAACGCUGGCGGCGUGCUUAACACAUGCAAGUCGAACGGAAAGGCCCUGCUUUUGUGGGGUGCUCGAGUGGCGAACGGGUGAGUAACACGUGAGUAACCUGCCCUUGACUUUGGGAUAACUUCAGGAAACUGGGGCUAAUACCGGAUAGGAGCUCCUGCUGCAUGGUGGGGGUUGGAAAGUUUCGGCGGUGGGGGAUGGACUCGCGGCUUAUCAGCUGGUUGGUGGGGUAGUGGCUUACCAAGGCUUUGACGGGUAGCCGGCCUGAGAGGGGGACCGGCCACAUUGGGACUGAGAUACGGCCCAGACUCCUACGGGAGGCAGCAGUGGGGAAUAUUGCACAAUGGGCGGAAGCCUGAUGCAGCAACGCCGCGUGCGGGAUGACGGCCUUCGGGUUGUAAACCGCUUUCGCCUGUGACGAAGCGUGAGUGACGGUAAUGGGUAAAGAAGCACCGGCUAACUACGUG